This 93-nucleotide transfer RNA is filed under the name Wolfiporia cocos MD-104 SS10. RNAcentral's name for it is "tRNA-Val". Lineage: Eukaryota; Fungi; Basidiomycota; Agaricomycetes; Polyporales; Phaeolaceae. The record is from RNAcentral.
GGUUCAGUGGUGUAGUUGGUUAUCACGUCUGUCUCACACUCGCUUGCGGCUGUAGCGCACAGGAGGCCUCCAGUUCGAACCUGGACUGAACCA